This 510-nucleotide long non-coding RNA is filed under the name Athene cunicularia (burrowing owl). RNAcentral's name for it is "lncRNA (ENSACUG00000012330.1)". Lineage: Eukaryota; Metazoa; Chordata; Aves; Strigiformes; Strigidae. The record is from RNAcentral.
AGUCUGAAAAGACAGAAGGAGAAAAAGUGGAUGUGUCAGAGGUUUUAGAAUUAAAAAUGGAACAAGUAACUAAUGAAGAAGAAAAGCCUGAAUGGUCAAUGGGAAAGGGAUAUCUUUUGCAAGCACACGCCUUGCUGCAGAAGAUACAGGAAUCUUUACAGAAACGAGAGAGAGAAGUCACUGAACUCCUACAAAGUGAAAGAAGAUGCAACAAGACAAUGAAACCUCAAAUCACAGUGCUAAUGUUCUUGAAAACUCUUGUCAAGAAGGUUUACACUAUAUAUUAUGAUGUUCCUGGGGCACAACAGUACAUCAGUCAGCUUAUCAGGAAGAAUGAGGAUGAAAGGGCUGAUCGGAAAGAAGCUUUUAAUAACGCUCAGGCUGACUUUCUGUGCUAUGAAGCAUUUUAUGGAAAUGAACUUAUGGAUGACAAAAGGACACAGCUCUCAACGAAGCUUUUCAGAAAUCUUGGAAAAGCAAAGUCUGAUUUAGAAUAUGUUGAAACAGAGA